Molecule: unclassified non-coding RNA, 210 nt
Filed under: Hevea brasiliensis (rubber tree)
Lineage: Eukaryota; Viridiplantae; Streptophyta; Magnoliopsida; Malpighiales; Euphorbiaceae
Source: RNAcentral
AAAGAAUCUUUCUGCAAAACCAAAGAGGAAGAAAAGAAAAUAAUGAGUUAUAAAUGAAAAUUCACAAGCCACAGUGUAAGCAGUAACACAAAAAGGAAAAUGCCUAGCGAAUUUGGGAAUCUUAUGACAAUGAGACCCAGUGACCGCACAUAAUAUGUCAUGUCAGUAGAAACAUAAACUAUGAGAGAAUUAGCAAAUCCAGCAAUAAAU